AAUUCUUUAGUUUAAAUUAAAACAUUAAAUUGCAAAUUUAAGUAUAUAAAUAUGUAAGAAUUU
This 63-nucleotide transfer RNA is filed under the name Calopompilus maculipennis. Its description in RNAcentral is "tRNA-Cys". The record is from RNAcentral. Lineage: Eukaryota; Metazoa; Arthropoda; Insecta; Hymenoptera; Pompilidae.